RNAcentral lists this ribosomal RNA (400 nucleotides) under uncultured bacterium. RNAcentral describes it as "bacterial SSU rRNA". It matches the Rfam family "Bacterial small subunit ribosomal RNA", at positions 355 to 772 of the family's 1533-position model. The record is from RNAcentral.
UGGGGAAUAUUGGGCAAUGGGCGCAAGCCUGACCCAGCUAUGCCGCGUGAGUGAUGAAGGCCUUCGGGUUGUAAAGCUCUUUUAGAUGGGACGAUAAUGACGGUACCAUCAGAAAAAGCCCCGGCUAACUUCGUGCCAGCAGCCGCGGUAAUACGAAGGGGGCAAGCGUUGCUCGGAUUUAUUGGGCGUAAAGGGUGUGUAGGUGGUUUGAUAAGUUAGAUGUGAAAGCCCGGGGCUUAACCCCGGAACUGCAUUUAAAACUGUUGAACUUGAAGAUCAAAGAGGUAAGCAGAAUUUCCAGUGUAGAGGUGAAAUUCGUAGAUAUUGGAAAGAAUACCGAUGGCGUAGGCAGCUUACUGGUUGAAUCUUGACACUGAGGCACGAAAGCGUGGGGAGCAAA